GUGCGCCGGCCUCGGAGAGCGGGCGUCCCCUAGCUAUGCCUCCCAGAGGGAGGCUUCCGAACUACAGUUCCCGUCGUCCUACGCGGGCGCCGGGUUGGCUCCGGCUCUUUUCCGAGAGAGGCUGGUUCCUAUUUUAAAUCCAGGCAGCGAUCAAAAUGGCGGCGUCGAGCUGAGCGCGAGAGGCGGAGGAGAGAGGCUCUCGGCGGUGUGUUUCCUCCAUCUCUCCCGAAGGUUGUACAUUGGUUUGUCUUGAAGUUCUUCCUUUUGAAUAAGAAACAACACUGAAAAGCUCCAUAAGUGUUCUUUCUUGAGGCAGAUGGUUGGAAGUGGUAAUGCCAUUAAUCUUAUGUAACUGGGUAUGGAUUCAACUGCUUGAUAACAUUAAUAACUUUCAAAUUGGACUCCAUGGGAGGUAAAUAAUAUUACGAUCAAGAAUUUAUAUCAUAGAUGUGAACAGGACUGUCAAUUUCAAAUUCUAUAAUCAAGCAAUUUACCAUUCCAGUCCACUGCUUUCUUCUCUUUUCUAGUGGAAGUUUUGAAAUGCAAUUAGAAUUUUGAGGAAAACUGUAUAGAAAGUAAUGAACGUGGUAACCUUUGGAGAAGCUUUUGCUAAAAGCUUAAGUCUUGAUUCAUAUGAUAAAUGAGGGCAUUUAAUCCACAUUUUUUCAUUUUUCUACACUCUUUAAAAAGUAAAGAAAAUGGGAGUUUUAAUACCAAGUCUCUUUUAAUACUGGCUCAUAUUAUGCAGGAAAUUUCCCCAUAAUUAAAAAUAAAACUUAUUCAACAUACAAAGAAAAUAAUAUCUUGGCAUAAGUUGUUAGUACUGAAGCAUAGUGAUCACGUCAAACUCUAAUCCAGGAGGCAUCUCAAAAGUGGCAAUACUCAGCGAAGGCUUGUUGUGGCAGGGAGUGAUUUUUAUCAACUUAGAUUGGUAAAUUAGCUGUACAUAAUAUUGAACAGGAAGGACAUUUUUAUGUGUACUGUGAUGUGUUGUGUAUAAAGGUGCAUUUAACUGAUUUUUAGGCUUUUAAUUGGGAAGACUUCUUGAGAAUGUAAAUUUCACUGGCAACUGGUUUGUUUCUAAACCCAAUUCGGGAUGCUGUGUUUGAUUUCAGAAGCACCAUUGGGCUAGAAUCUAUGUGCAAAUAAUCAUGGAUUGAUACAUUUUGAUAGUCUUUACUAAGCAGUUGCUGCUAGCCCCACUCCCCUGUGUAGGGUUUAUUUCUGACCUAAUAGUUAUUGUGUGCCUUCAAGUCCGUUCCAUCAUAGGGGGGGUUUUAAAGCAGGAUUUAUUCAGAAGAGGCUAGUUGUUGGCUUCCUCUCUUCCAAUUACUAACCACUACAGACUAUGUUCAGCUUCUGAUAUCAGAUCUGUUAUGUUUAGACAUCUUUCUGAUCUAAUACUGUGUCACCAGUGUAGCAUGAGAUCAAGAUGAAUCUACUUUUCAGUUGAAACAAUGGGAGCAAGU
This 1469-nucleotide long non-coding RNA is filed under the name Anolis carolinensis (green anole). RNAcentral describes it as "lncRNA (ENSACAG00000041372.1)". Lineage: Eukaryota; Metazoa; Chordata; Lepidosauria; Squamata; Anolidae. The record is from RNAcentral.